UGGGGAAUAUUGCACAAUGGGCGCAAGCCUGAUGCAGCCAUGCCGCGUGUAUGAAGAAGGCCUUCGGGUUGUAUAGUACUUUCAGCGGGGAGGAAGGGAGUAAAGUUAAUACCUUUGCUCAUUGACGUUACCCGCAGAAGAAGCACCGGCUAACUCCGUGCCAGCAGCCGCGGUAAUACGGAGGGUGCAAGCGUUAAUCGGAAUUACUGGGCGUAAAGCGCACGCAGGCGGUUUGUUAAGUCAGAUGUGAAAUCCCCGGGCUCAACCUGGGAACUGCAUCUGAUACUGGCAAGCUUGAGUCUCGUAGAGGGGGGUAGAAUUCCAGGUGUAGCGGUGAAAUGCGUAGAGAUCUGGAGGAAUACCGGUGGCGAAGGCGGCCCCCUGGACGAAGACUGACGCUCAGGUGCGAAAGCGUGGGGAGCAAACAGG
This 429-nucleotide ribosomal RNA is filed under the name Chloroflexota bacterium. RNAcentral describes it as "Chloroflexi bacterium partial 16S ribosomal RNA". It matches the Rfam family "Bacterial small subunit ribosomal RNA", at positions 355 to 776 of the family's 1533-position model. The record is from RNAcentral. Lineage: Bacteria; Bacillati; Chloroflexota.